CCUACGGGAGGCAGCAGUGGGGAAUAUUGCGCAAUGGGCGAAAGCCUGACGCAGCGACGCCGCGUGAGGGAUGAAGGUCUUCGGAUUGUAAACCUCUGUCAGCAGGGAAGAACGGUCACUGUGCUAAUCAGCAGUGAAUUGACGGUACCUGCAAAGGAAGCACCGGCUAACUCCGUGCCAGCAGCCGCGGUAAUACGGAGGGUGCGAGCGUUAAUCGGAAUUACUGGGCGUAAAGCGCUCGUAGGCGGUAUGUCAAGUAAAGGGUGAAAUCCCCGGGCUCAACGUGGGAACUGCCUUUGAAACUGGCGAGCUGGAGUGUGUGAGAGGCAAGUGGAAUUCCAGGGGUAGGAGUGAAAUCCGUAGAUAUCUGGAGGAACAUCAGUGGCGAAGGCGACUAUCUGGCACAUAACUGACGCUGAGGAGCGAAAGCGUGGGUAGCAAACAGGAUUAGAUACCCGAGUAGUC
RNAcentral lists this ribosomal RNA (465 nucleotides) under uncultured bacterium. Its description in RNAcentral is "partial 16S ribosomal RNA". It matches the Rfam family "Bacterial small subunit ribosomal RNA", at positions 338 to 795 of the family's 1533-position model. The record is from RNAcentral.